GACGAACGCUGGCGGCGUGCUUAACACAUGCAAGUCGAACGGAAAGGCCCUGCUUUUGUGGGGUGCUCGAGUGGCGAACGGGUGAGUAACACGUGAGUAACCUGCCCUUGACUUUGGGAUAACUUCAGGAAACUGGGGCUAAUACCGGAUAGGAGCUCCUGCUGCAUGGUGGGGGUUGGAAAGUUUCGGCGGUUGGGGAUGGACUCGCGGCUUAUCAGCUUGUUGGUGGGGUAGUGGCUUACCAAGGCUUUGACGGGUAGCCGGCCUGAGAGGGUGACCGGCCACAUUGGGACUGAGAGACGGCCCAGACUGCUACGGGAGGCAGCAGGGGGGAAUAUUGCACAAUGGGCGGAAGCCUGAUGCAGCAACGCCGCGUGCGGGAUGACGGCCUUCGGGGUGUAAACCGCUUUCGCCUGUGACGAAGCGUGAGUGACGGUAAUGGGUAAAGAAGCACCGGCUAACUACGUG
Molecule: ribosomal RNA, 468 nt
Filed under: uncultured bacterium
Lineage: Bacteria
Description: partial 16S ribosomal RNA
Rfam family: Bacterial small subunit ribosomal RNA
Source: RNAcentral